CUGCUGCCUUCCGUAGGAGUUUGGGCCGUGUCUCAGUCCCAAUGUGGCCGUCCGCCCUCUCAGGCCGGCUACCGAUCGUCGCUUUGGUGGGCCGUUACCCCGCCAACUGGCUAAUCGGACGCGGAUCCAUCGUAUGCCGAUAAUUCUUUUCACACCGUGUCAUGCGACACUGUGCGCUUAUGCGGUAUUAGCAACUGUUUCCAGUUGGUAUCCCCCGUGCAUACGGCAGGUUAUCCACGCGUUACUCACCCGUCCG
This 256-nucleotide ribosomal RNA is filed under the name uncultured bacterium. Its description in RNAcentral is "partial 16S ribosomal RNA". The record is from RNAcentral.